CUUUUAGUGCACGCUGUGAGUAAUAAUAAUGCGAUCUCCCAGGGCAUGAUAUAGUACACCUCAGAAAUCGCCGACACAGAGGUUUUCCCUACUCGACCACUUGCCCUGCUGAGCGUUAGCGCAGGGAGGGAAGACGCAGCAAAGAGCAUGACGGCGAUUUCGGAGCGGAGGGCAAGAUUCUGCAGGGAUGGGAUUCACGCCAGCCUGCUAUAGCUGUUCUCGGCAAGCAGACGAGAAUGCCACCGAGUGGCUAUUCUCAUUCGUUGUUCUAAACUGCAGCUGCAGGUUUUUCUUUUCUUUUCUUCUUCUUGCAUACUGGCCAGGAAGGGCGCCAGCUGCCACCCUCCCAGUGGUGACGUUACGUGACUUUCUUCUUCUUCUCGUUCUAUACUUUUUUUUUUCCCUGCAGGUGCAGAGGGCAGGCGCUUGGCGCUCACGCGCGCUCGAAAGAGUGCAGCGCCGAAUACGACAGCGUCCACACCUCGAUUGGAGCACAGUUGCGCAUAACUCUUUCGGCGCCGCUCGCACCGCUAUUCGCUGAGCGCUAUCACGUGGUGCAAAAUGACGUCAAAUGUUCAACUGCGCUGCUGCGAAGCCAACUUUACGGGCGCGGCGCCGACUCGCUUCCGGAUCGUCGAGCGUGCGUUGCACCAAUCGGCUCCGGGUUGCAGCAUGACAGGGUGCAGCGCACCAAACUGCCCAAACCAUACGGAAGGUGAAAAGGAUUUUUACGUGGUGCCGUGCGGACGGACGAGACCGGCCAUCUCUGAAAGGGACCAGGAUAUGCGAGGUGCGCCCACUUGUUUACAGAGGGCAGCGACAAAUGGUCACCCAGCCUGCUUGAGUUACUCAGUCCCAACAUAUCCACACUGAAGUCACCGACAACGACCUGAGGGGUAGUGCCAUUGCAACUAACCCACGCAAAAAGGACCUGCUGUUCAUAGUGACGUUCCUUGCAAACCCCUCUGUGGUGAAAAUACAUCAUCAUAGACCAUCACUGUGGUGUAUUCUAAAAGUAAAAGAAAAACAACAAAACGGCAAUAAACACAAGUCUUACAAGACAAAAGGUUUUGCUCCAGCCAAAAUAGCAAACGUACCAGCAUGAACUUCACCAAGAACUGUGGUGCACCUCUCUAUUCCGGGAGUUAUCAAAAAGCUUGUGCACCAGAGGAAAAAAACAAGCGUCAUUGAACAGAUUUCUUGCCAGAACUCAGCUUGCAGCUGAAAGACCAAAGAAGAAGGACACCCCUGAGUGAGAUCCUCAUGAUGUACUUACUGAGUGACUCGCCCUUGAACCAAUAACCAGCUGCUGCCCACCCACCUGCCUGUUUCUCCCACCAAGGAAGUGUGAGAGUGUUUGCAUCCUUCAUAAGUACUGAACAGUACACUUGUUUUGAUUUAUAUUUGUGUUUGAAUAAAUUUUGCUUGAAGCCUUA
Dermacentor albipictus is the source of this 1436-nucleotide long non-coding RNA. RefSeq lists it as uncharacterized. Lineage: Eukaryota; Metazoa; Arthropoda; Arachnida; Ixodida; Ixodidae. The record is from RefSeq and is a predicted model, not a curated record.